RNAcentral lists this ribosomal RNA (378 nucleotides) under uncultured bacterium. Its description in RNAcentral is "partial 16S ribosomal RNA". It matches the Rfam family "Bacterial small subunit ribosomal RNA", at positions 523 to 899 of the family's 1533-position model. The record is from RNAcentral.
AUACGUAGGUGACAAGCGUUAUCCGGAUUUACUGGGUGUAAAGGGCGUGUAGGCGGGUCAGCAAGUCAGAUGUGAAAACCCGGGGCUUAACCCCGGGAGUGCAUCUGAGACUGUCGAUCUUGAGUACCGGAGAGGAAAGUGGAAUUCCCAGUGUAGCGGUGAAAUGCGUAGAGAUUGGGAGGAACACCAGUGGCGAAGGCGGCUUUCUGGACGGUAACUGAAGCUGAGGCGCGAAAGCGUGGGGAGCAAACAGGAUUAGAUACCCUGGUAGUCCACGCUGUAAACGAUGAAUACUAGGUGUAGGGGGUAUCAACUCCCUCUGUGCCGCAGCAAACGCAAUAAGUAUUCCACCUGGGGAGUACGACCGCAAGGUUGAAA